AAAUUGUCUUCGAGCCCCCGUUCCUGUGGCGAACGCUAUGGAGCCUGGGCCGCGCCGGAGCAUCCGGUUCAGGGUAAGGCUGGAAACGGCCCUGCCUUCCGCAUUUGAAAAGGAGAC
Molecule: non-coding RNA, 117 nt
Filed under: bovine gut metagenome
Description: Moco (molybdenum cofactor) riboswitch
Rfam family: Molybdenum/Tungsten riboswitch aptamer (Moco RNA motif)
Source: RNAcentral